AAUAAGUGCAGUUUUGCACUAUUCACGUUCAACGUUUGACCAUUCGUCUUAUUUGAAUUUUUUUUAUGAUUAGUAUGUUUAUUGCUAUUAGAUGAUAAAACAUGAAUAGUACUUUAUGUGUGACUAAAUAUUUUAAAAUUUUUCACAAAUUUUUUAAAUGAGACGGACGGUCAAAUGUUAAGCACGGAUAUUCAUAGCUGCACUUAUU
Molecule: microRNA precursor, 208 nt
Organism: Oryza rufipogon (brownbeard rice)
Lineage: Eukaryota; Viridiplantae; Streptophyta; Magnoliopsida; Poales; Poaceae
Rfam family: MIR812 microRNA precursor family
Source: Rfam